UGCACUUGCUCCCUUUCUAUACCUCUCCACAGUUCCUAGUACCGGCCAAAAACACUGCUGAAAUGCCUAAUGAAUCAACCAGAAGUUCCUUAGCAUAAUAUAGGAGCGUGGAAGUGAUGUUUAGGGGGGCUUCCCUUGCUUCCCUGAUCCCCAGAUGGAGAGAAAUGGCAAUUUGCCCUUCCAAGGAAGUUAUCACAGUAAUCCAGAUACGAGCUAUGGUGAUGUUCCAUGAUCAUCAGAGGAAUGGGAAGGAAAAGUGUGCAGUCCGUGUGGAUUUCUCUUAUUUUAUUUGUGGCUUGAAUGUACAUUUCUGAGAGAGGGAGUCAGAUGGUGAGAGGGAGAGAUGUUCUUGCUGAGUUUGUUUAUGUUGUGCUUCAGAGGAUGUAAGACAAGCAGCAAAUCAGCAGAGACAAGCGCUGCCACAUGACAGAGGUACUUAAUAAAUAUCUGUUGGAUGAAUGAAUAAAUUUAUAAAGAACUACUACAAAUUCGUAAGAAAAUUAUGGAUAGGAAAUUCACAGAAAAGGAAACCUGAAUGGCCAAGAAUAAAGACAGAUCAGAGUAUGUUGAAAAAAAGGAGGGUGUGAUCUAUGGUCCUGCUGCCCUGAAAUGUCAUAUAGGACAAGAGUCACAGCGGUCAACCUGCAUGAAUAUAAAAAGUAUACAAACACAAGCACAAAACAGGAACAUAAUGGAACCAUUAUGGCUCCCUUUAUUCCGAAGGGAUUGCUAUAGCCUUUGAUGAUGGAGUCGAAGGAGGUAAUUGCUGCCGGUUCAUCUUUAUUCCCACCUUCCACUAGAACUCUAGGAGUCUGCCUGUCUUCCACUGAGGGAGUGAUCUGUGAUCUUAAGCUCGCUGUUGAAACCACCAAUGGAAUUCAGCAUCUUACCGCUCUGAAACUGGCCUCCUUUAAUAUUACCUGAUGGCUCUAACUUUUGUUAUUUUGUUAUAAAAGCUACACUGGGAGAAAAACACCCUAAAAGUAUUUGCUCCUGAUUUAGCUUUUCUAAAAACAGAACUCAAAGUUCAAGGCCGUUAGCUGGGAAAGAAGCUGCUUGUCAAGAUCUUUCACCAAGACCCCGGCGGCCACUCCCUCCGCGCGGCCACUCCCUCGGCAGCGCCUCCAGGCUCCCAACAUUGUUUUCUCCUGAAAAGGACAAGGCCCUACAGAAUUUCUGAGGGGGAUUUUUAAUAGUGAAGUCAUUCCAAAAGCUGCCCAGCUGCCUGCUGAAUUCUUAGAGCAAGGGGGACUUAAGGGAGAUGAUUUCGAGACACAGCUUCAAGAAGAAAGGACACAAUUUGAACUGUUAUAUAUAAAUAGAGUGUGAAGUUAAAUAGUAGAAAAAAUGAGAUCUUUUAUCUUUUUUUUCUUUUUGGCACUGUUUUCUUCUUCUGCUAUCAACUAUUUUUGCUAGUGGAUGAAAAGCUAUAAAAAGAUAAGAAAAAGUUGUAAAUGUGCUUUACUCUGUGAAAGGCCAUAUGGUACCCCUUUACUAUCCUAGGGAACAUUUUUCUAUUGAUCCUUGCAAUGUUAUAUACAUUAUGUUCAAUGGUAGCUAGUUCCACAAUAUUCAAGAGGUAUUUAAUUUCAAAUAAAAUUAUGGCCAGGCAUGAUGGCUCAUGCCUGUAAUCCCAGCACUUUGGGAGGCCAAGGCAGGUAAAAUCACUUGAGGCCAGGAGUUCAAGACCAGUCUGGUCAUCAUGGUGAAACCCCGUCUCUACUCAAAACACAAAAAUUAGCUGGGCGUGGCGGUGCAAACCUGUAAUCCCAGCUACUUGGGAGGAUGAGGCACAAGAAUCGUUUGAACCCGGGAGGUGGAGGUUGCAGUGAGCUGAGAUCACGCCACUGCUCGCUAACCUGGGCGACAGAGCGAGACUGUCUCAAAAAAAAAAAAAAAAUUACGCUUGAAUCAGUUUAAUAAGAAAACCAUCUGAAUUAUGAUUUGCCUUUCAUUUACUGAAGUUCAGUGUCUCCUGAGUUUUUGUACAUCCUACCCAAAAGAGGGGUAGGCGCAUGAGAUCUGCCUCUAAAGCUUUAAAAAGUAAAUGUACAGUAUUUAAGUCUGUUUCCUGUCUUCUAUACACAUUUAAAUGCAUAAUGCAAAUAAAUACAAAAGUCAUAGCCUUUAUUUUAUUUUAUUUUGAGACAAGUCUUGCUCUGUCGCCCAGGCUGGAGUGCAAUGGCGUGAUCUUGGUUUACUGCAACCUCCACUUCCCGGGUUCAAGCGAUUCUCCUGCCUCAGCCUCCUGAGUAGCUGGGGUUACAGGUGUGUGCCACCACACCUGGCUAAUUUUUGUAUUUUUAGUAGAGACAAGGUUUCACCAUGUUGGCCAGGCUGGUCUUGAACUCCUGACCUCAAGUGAUCUGCCCGCCUCAGCCUCCCAAAAUGCUGGGAUUACAGGCGCCCAGCCAUAGCCUUUAUUUUUAAUGCUUGCUAUGUGACUACUGCUCAGAUUCCCUAUUUAAUUUCUGUAUCAUUCCUUUCAUGUUUACUAGUUGUAGUUGGGCCAGUUACUAUCUAUUCCUGGGUAUAUCUAAGAGAUCUUAGGCAGCUAAAAAGCCAAUUUUGUAUUCUUGAUUUGCUACUUUAAUUAAAGCUGAAGAAAGCACUUUUGCAUAUACAGACAUAUUUUAUCAUGGGAAAACUUGGGUGCACCAUUCUCUCCCUUCCUCCCUCCCUCCCUCUUUUCUUUUCUCUUUUCUUUCUUUCCCUCUCUCCUUCUUUUUCUUUCCUUUCCUUCCCCUUCCCCUUUCCCUCCCUCCCGUACUCACUUCCUUCCUUCCUUAUUUUUCCACCUGUUCAGCCUCCUGUAUUUCCAAUCUAUGCAGGCACCUAGCCAGGAACUGGAGUUAUCCCUAGCUCCUUUUUCCUUUGGAGAAACAAACCUAACUGUGUCUAUCUUCAAUCUCGCCUUUGAACUGAUGCGGUUCAUCCUGCCAUAAUCUGUCAUGCUCCUCUUUUUUUUUCAUAACACUUAUUAUAGCUUUUAAUUACAUAUUUACUUGGGUAAAUUUAUUUAGAGUCUAUUUCCACGGGGAUAGAGACAAUUUUGUUGUACAGACAGUGACUAGAAUAGGCCUGCCACAUGAGAGGCACUGAAUAAAUCUAGGUUGAGUUUUUUAAAUUGAAUGAUUUGUGUCAUUUAAAAAAUAUUUCUUAAUAAUUGAUGAUCUUUUGGCCUCCAAUAAUCUUCUGAUUUUUCACCUCACUGCUGUCACUAUAGUGCAUUGUAAAGGGCUAGAGGAUAGGAACCACAUCGUUUUAUCGCUGUAUCCCCCAAACCUAGGUCAAUGCCUGACCCAUUUUAGCAAAUCACUCACCUUUGUUACAUUAAUAAAUGAACGUGCAUCUUAAUAAGCAACAAUCAUGAAAUGAUUUUAUGUUUUGAUGAACCUCCUAGAAGGUCCAUACUGCUCUUUAUAGGUUUCUAUGAAGAAUAUCUUAACACCACAGGAUUGCAGUACUGGAUACUGGAUACUAGAAACAGAAACCCACCCCAACAAAUCUAUGGUAAACUCAAAUGGUCAAAACAAAGCAGAUUAUUCUGUACCUUCCCAGAGCAAGACUAUAUCCUAUAUUUAAUGCUUCAGUCAGUCCAGCUUUAUUAUUUAUUUUUUGUAAGAAAAGUUAUUUCCAGGCACGGUGGUUCACACCUGUAACCUCAGUACUUUGGGAGGUUGAGGCCGGAGGUUCACUUGAGCCCAGGAGUUCAAGACCAGCCUGGGCAACACAGCAAGAGCCCCUCUCUACAAAAAAUAAAAAAAAAAAAUUAGCUGAGUGUGGUGGCAUGUGCAUGUAGUCCCAACUACUCGAGAGGCUGAGAUGGGAGGAUUAUUUAAACCCAAGAGGUCAAGGCUGCAGUGAGCUGUGAUCAUGCCAUUGCACUCCAUUCAGCCUGGGUGACAGAGCAAAAACCCUGUCUCAAAAAAAAAAAAAAAAAGUUAUUUAUUCUAACUUGAUAGGGGACAUUCUCCACCCUUAAGUACCUUUCACUGGCAGCAAAAUUUCUUUCACAUUAAUCAAUCUGAAAUUCCUUUCACCCAAUUAUAUCCAAUUAGAACUCUUUGUUCAAGGAAAGUAAAUUAUUUUUUGCCACACCUCUACUUCCCCCUUACACCUUUUGAGUAUUUAUAGAA
This is a long non-coding RNA of Gorilla gorilla gorilla (western lowland gorilla), 4139 nucleotides long. RefSeq lists it as uncharacterized. Lineage: Eukaryota; Metazoa; Chordata; Mammalia; Primates; Hominidae. The transcript is spliced from 6 exons. The record is from RefSeq and is a predicted model, not a curated record.